CUUUGUGUAACUCCAUCCUCUUAUCCCAGAAACAAUCAUUCUUGCAUGUCAUGGUUACCUCAUUUAGUGCCCUUUGAGAGCUUUUGCAGGUGGGCAAUAUUUCACAUGCAGUUUGGUUUGUAUGCUGUAAACAUCACUGAACAAAAACAAAACCAUCAGAAAAAUAACACUGGAAAGAUUGGAAGCUGCUAAGGGUAGAAUCAUUCUCAGUUAUGGGGUGGUCUAAAGGUUUGCUUUCUUGGAAUCCCAAAGGGAAGCUGUUUUAUGAGUGACAUAAGGAGAGCACACACAGGAAUGAGCUGAGGCAGAGUUACAGGUUAAAAGAAAGAGUUGCCCUCCCAGAGACAAGUUAGACUACCCUCUAAAGAGUGCUGUCAAACCAAUACUGUGCCAGGCCACAGGAGAGACAUCCUGAUGAAUGCUGGAACUUGGCUAUUGCUAUCAUGGUUUAUAAGCAUAACAGAUAGCCUAGACACUAUGGAUGGAAGCUUGGAAUAUCAUCGGAUAGAGUGGCACCAUCAGAGGAAUUCCUGGUAUUACCAAAUGAAGUAGGCAUGGGAACAGUUUUUGUGACAAAUAUUUUGGAUGUCUUCACUCUACCCCUCACCCACUGUAGGGAAGUGAAGGCAUGAGAAUUUGAACAGAAGAGACACCCUACUACCUGUACUUCCUACACAAGACCCAGUGACCACAGGCUCCCAACAAAUGAGCCAGGCCUCUGCUUAUUCUUCAACACGCAUAUCACAUCACCCUAGCAAGAAAUGGAUUUCCUCUGCAUUAUUGUUUAUCUGGAGAGAAUAACAGUUCACAAAGUCCAAUCAGAUCAAAGCAACUUCAUGAUCGAAUUAAGCCUCACAUGGAUUCAAAAACACUUCUAUUGAGUACCUGUGACAUUGCAUAAAAUGACUACAGCUUCAAGCACAAUGUCAAUGAAAUAAAAGUUAUACCUUGUGAAAUAGAUUGUAAUCUAGGUACAGAUAUUCAUCUUUCUUUUAUGUUCAAUGGCCUUUGUGCAUCUGUGUGUGUGUUCAGUUAAUACAUAUUUAUAAAUGAUGAAAAGGGAAACAAGUCAUCAUUAUUUUUAUCAACUUUUGUUAAAAAUACAUAUCGGUUAACGUUGCCAGGUAACAUACAAGAUGCUCUGCUGAAUUUGAAUUUCCAAUAAAAAAAUAAGUAAAUUUUUUAGCACAAGUGUGUGCCAAAUAUGGCAUAGAGCAUAUUUAUACUAAAUAGUGAUUAUUUGUCUAAAAAUCUAAUUUAACUGAGUGUCAUAUUUCCUUUAUCUUUUUCUAGCUUUAUUGAGAUAUAAUUAUCAGAAAUUAUAUAUACAGCCGUGUGUUCUUUAACAAAAGAGAUGCCUUCUGAGAAACACAUCAUUAGGUGAUGUCAUUGUGGGAACACUAUAGAUUAUAAACCUAGAUAAUAUAGCCAACUACACACCUAAGUUAUAUGGUAUAGCCUAUUGCUCCUAGGCUAAAACCUGCACAGCAUAUUACUGUACUAAAUACUAUAGGCCAUUGUAACACAAAGAUAAGUAUUU
This 1540-nucleotide long non-coding RNA is filed under the name Homo sapiens (human). Its description in RNAcentral is "HSALNT0057831". The record is from RNAcentral. Lineage: Eukaryota; Metazoa; Chordata; Mammalia; Primates; Hominidae.